RNAcentral lists this ribosomal RNA (378 nucleotides) under Triticum aestivum (bread wheat). RNAcentral's name for it is "partial small subunit ribosomal RNA". Lineage: Eukaryota; Viridiplantae; Streptophyta; Magnoliopsida; Poales; Poaceae. The record is from RNAcentral.
AGGAAGAAUUUCUACAUUGAGACUAGUAAGUGUGAAUUAUGUGAUGAUGAACCUAAUGAACAUCUAAUGCAUCUAUUUUUUAGCUGUGAUUUUAGUCAAAACUUCUGGAUGAACAUUGGCUACCAAUGGAACACUGAUCAUAACCUCAUAGAAAUGCUCCUGGAGGGAAGGAAGCAAGAUACACAUGGAUGCUUUAAAGAAUGUCUGAUUGCUGGAUGCUGGAGUCUCUGGAAACACAGAAAUAGCAUAAUUUUUGACAACAAGGUCCAAAAUAUGACAUUUUGUAUUGCCACUUUCAAGGAGCACUUUUGCAUGAUUAUAAAGAAGGCAAAACCAGGAUUGAAAGAGGGCAUGCAAAGCUGGCUAGAUCAUUUGUAG